RNAcentral lists this ribosomal RNA (492 nucleotides) under uncultured bacterium. RNAcentral describes it as "partial 16S ribosomal RNA". It matches the Rfam family "Bacterial small subunit ribosomal RNA", at positions 29 to 507 of the family's 1533-position model. The record is from RNAcentral.
AGUGAACGCUGGCGGUAGGCCUAACACAUGCAAGUCGAACGGCAGCACAGUAAGAGCUUGCUCUUACGGGUGGCGAGUGGCGGACGGGUGAGGAAUACAUCGGAAUCUACUUUUUCGUGGGGGGUAACGUAGGGAAACUUACGCUAAUACCGCAUACGACCUACGGGUGAAAGCAGGGGAUCUUCGGACCUUGCGCGAUUGAAUGAGCCGAUGUCGGAUUAGCUAGUUGGCGGGGUAAAGGCCCACCAAGGCGACGAUCCGUAGCUGGUCUGAGAGGAUGAUCAGCCACACUGGAACUGAGACACGGUCCAGACUCCUACGGGAGGCAGCAGCGGGGAAUAUUGGACAAUGGGCGCAAGCCUGAUCCAGCCAUACCGCGUGGGUGAAGAAGGCCUUCGGGUUGUAAAGCCCUUUUGUUGGGAAAGAAAAGCAGCAGGUUAAUACCCCGCUGUUCUGACGGUACCCAAAGAAUAAGCACCGGCUAACUUCGUG